CCUGAAAGUUACUGCCCCUUUCUACGGAAGAUACCAACCUUUUCCUAGAAAUUUCUGCAUAAUCCCCCCUUAAUUUGCAUGUAAGUCAAAGUGGGUAUAAGUAUGACUGCAGUCCUGCCUCGGAGCUGCUAUUCUGGGCACACUGCCUAUAGGGUAGCGCUGUUCCACAGUACCAGUACCUCUGCUGCUGCUUCACUAAAAGUCGCUAACACCUCCGGCUCACCCUUGAAUUCUUUCCUAGGUGAAGCCAAGAACUCUCCCAGGCUAAUCCCCAAUUUUAAGACUCGCCUGUCCUGCAUCACUAGGGCAUAAACGUGACAGAUCUGCCACUUAGACACACCCACAUAAGACUGAUUCAGGUCCCAAGGCUGUCAUCUGUGGUGGCAGGAGGUUCAUCCCACCUGCAGCCAGUGGAACCUUCGGAAACAGUCCUCCUCUAUUUUAUUGCCGACCCUCCAGAGACUUUAGAAAGCAGCUCUACAGGCUGGAUACCUCUCAACCUGACCUCUGGAGACUGCAAGGCCCAAGUGUAGGAAAGGAUAUGGCUACUCACCAAUCUUUUUUUUUUCUUUGAGACAGAAUCUUGCUCUGUCACCUAGGCUGGAGUGCGGUGGUGUGAUCUCGGCUCACUGCAACCUCCGCCUCCCAGGUUCUAAUGAUCCUAAUGAUCCUUUUGCCUCAGCCUCCUGAGUAGCUGGGAUUACAGAUGCAUGCCACCACGCCUGGCUAAUUUUUUUUUUUCAGUAGCGAUGGGGUUUCACCAUGUUGGCCAGGCAGGUCUUGAACUCCUGACCUCGAGUGAUCUGCUCGCCUCAGCCUCCCAAAGUGCUGGGAUUACAGGCGUGAGCCACCGUGCCUGGCAGCUACUCAACGAUCUUUCCAGCUCUCCUCUCCUUCCGGCCACACAGGAGGGUUGCACGUCCACACCCCCCUGAAGUAAGGCAUGAUGCCAGAACUUGCUUUGGAUGAUGACACAGAAACAGCAGUGAUACACCACUUCUGGAUGGCAGCACUGAAGAGCCAAGGUGCCUGAGUCAGCAUCUCUGUUAUCUGGCCCCUUCUGACCUCCCCUGCCUGCCGAGGGAGUCCAUACUGCUCAUCACAGCAUCCCCAGGGCUCAGCACUUAAGUGGGAGCACCGGUCCCUGCUGUCCCGGAGCUCCUGUGGCUCCAUGCCUGGUGCUCAUGGGAAACCACACCUGCACAGGCCCUGGCCUCCUGUGGCCAUUGCCUUCAGGACUUCUCCUCUUUCAUGCCCCUCUGCAUCUGACCCAAGACCCACCUAUUUGCCCAUCCCCCAUCCCCCACCGCUGCCCUUGCCU
Gorilla gorilla gorilla (western lowland gorilla) is the source of this 1321-nucleotide long non-coding RNA. RefSeq lists it as uncharacterized. NCBI's taxonomy places the organism in Eukaryota, Metazoa, Chordata, Mammalia, Primates, Hominidae. The transcript is spliced from 3 exons. The record is from RefSeq and is a predicted model, not a curated record.